This 253-nucleotide ribosomal RNA is filed under the name uncultured bacterium. RNAcentral's name for it is "partial 16S ribosomal RNA". It matches the Rfam family "Bacterial small subunit ribosomal RNA", at positions 524 to 776 of the family's 1533-position model. The record is from RNAcentral.
UACGUAGGGUGCGAGCGUUGUCCGGAAUUAUUGGGCGUAAAGGGCUCGUAGGCGGUUUGUCGCGUCGGGAGUGAAAACCAGGUGCUUAACACCUGGCUUGCUUUCGAUACGGGCAGACUAGAGGUAUUCAGGGGAGACUGGAAUUCCUGGUGUAGCGGUGGAAUGCGCAGAUAUCAGGAGGAACACCGGUGGCGAAGGCGGGUCUCUGGGCAGUAACUGACGCUGAGGAGCGAAAGCGUGGGGAGCGAACAGG